RNAcentral lists this long non-coding RNA (1905 nucleotides) under Homo sapiens (human). RNAcentral describes it as "HSALNT0170511". Lineage: Eukaryota; Metazoa; Chordata; Mammalia; Primates; Hominidae. The record is from RNAcentral.
CUUUCCUCAAAUUCCUGAGAUGACUUUUCACCCCUUCUGGUCCUCCUUCCCUCCAUGAUGCCCGGCCUUCCUACAAGGCUGGAAUAGAAACACUCAGAGGGCCCAGACCCCUCGCCAGAGUCAGCACCCCACAUAGGAGCCAAACACGGGAAAUGUGGGGCACUCUCUCUGCUCAACGGCGAUAGGACCUGGGCCAGCAUUGCUCUCUCCCAGGGAUGCUGCCCAUAGGACACAAAUACCUCAGAUCUCCUCACUCCCCUUGGUAUCCAAACCCACUGUGAUCUCCUCACUCCCCUGAGCACCCAAACACACUGCGAUCUUCUCAUUCCCCUCAGCACCCAAACCCACUGUGAUCUCCUCACUCCCCUUGGCACCCAAACACACUGUGAUCUCCUCACUCCCCUCAGCACCCAAACACACUGAGAUCUUCUCAUUCCCCUCAGCACCCAAACACACUGCGAUCUCCUCACUCCCCUCACACCCAAACACACUGUGAUCUCCUCACUCCCCUCACAUCCAAACACACUGUGAUCUCCUCACUCCCCUCGGCACCCAAACACACUGUGAUCUCCUCACAGCCCUCAGCACCCAAACCCACCGUGAUCUCCUCACUCCCCUCAUCAUCCAAACACACUGUGAUCUCCUCACUCCCCUCGGCACCCAAACACACUGCGAUCUCCUCACUCCCCUCACAUCCAAACACACUGUGAUCUCCUCACUCCCCUCGGCACCCAAACACACUGUGAUCUCCUCACUCCCCUCACAUCCAAACACACUGUGAUCUCCUCACUCCCCUCGGCAUCCAAACACACUGUGAUCUCCUCACUCCCCUCGGCACCCAAACACACUGUGAUAUCCUCACUCCCCCCGGCCCCCAAAUACACUGUGAUCUCCUCACUCCCCUCAGCCCCCAAACACACUGUGAUCUCCUCACUCCCCUCGGCACCCAAACCCACUGCGAUCUCCUCACUCCCCUCACAUCCAAACACACUGUGAUCUCCUCACUCCCCUCGGCACCCAAACACACUGCGAUCUCCUCACUCCCCUCACAUCCAAACACACUGUGAUCUCCUCACUCCCCUCGGCACCCAAACACACUGUGAUCUCCUCACUCCCCUCACAUCCAAACACACUGUGAUCUCCUCACUCCCCUCGGCAUCCAAACACACUGUGAUCUCCUCACUCCCCUCGGCACCCAAACACACUGUGAUCUCCUCACUCCCCUCGGCCCCCAAAUACACUGUGAUCUCCUCACUCCCCUCAGCCCCCAAAUACACUGUGAUCUCCUCACUCCCCUCUGCCCCCAAAUACACUGUGAUCUCCUCACUCCCCUUGGCAUCCAAACACACCAUGAUCUCCUCACUCCCCUCGGCAUCCAAACACACCAUGAUCUCCUCCUACAGGCUCUUUCUGCACUUGGCUUAAAGCCGCCCUCUCCCUUCUGUGGCCUCACUGGCCUCUCCUCUGUGCUGGGAGGGAGGCAGGGCCAGGAAUUGGGGUGGCCUUCGGAUCCCCACACCCUGAGGUCUCCCAGGCUCCUAUUCUCCAGCCCCACUCACUGCAACUCCAGACUCACAGGCCCCUGGACACAGGACCUCCCCCCAUGGAGGGGACAGAGCUCUCCCAAGCCCAGCACUUGUGAAACUCAGUAUUUGCUCUCCCUCCCAAAACGACUUACGCCUUUAGCAUAUUAAUAUAGAAAGUGACUGACAGGCUAAUGGAAUUUUUCUUUUCUUCCUUUAACUGAAGUUCGUCCAUUAAUUCAUGACGAACCUGUCAUAAAAUGGAGCAGAUUAUUAAUCUGGAUUCAAACAAUUCGGUAGAGGUUCAGAUUUUGUGUCUAGAUUUUAUUUUCUCAUUAAUUUUGUAUCUAGCUUUUCAGAUACAACUUAAGCUGAUUCCCCA